Molecule: ribosomal RNA, 258 nt
Filed under: uncultured bacterium
Lineage: Bacteria
Description: partial 16S ribosomal RNA
Rfam family: Bacterial small subunit ribosomal RNA
Source: RNAcentral
CGGCGGACGGGUGAGUAACGCGUGGGCAACCUGCCUUACACAGGGGGAUAACAGUUAGAAAUGACUGCUAAUACCGCAUAAGACCACAGGACUGCAUGGUCCGGUGGUAAAAACUCUGGUGGUGUAAGAUGGGCCCGCGUCUGAUUAGGUAGUUGGCGGGGUAACGGCCCACCAAGCCGACGAUCAGUAGCCGACCUGAGAGGGUGACCGGCCACAUUGGGACUGAGACACGGCCCAGACUCCUACGGAAGGCAGCAG